AUUGAACGCUGGCGGCAGGCUUAACACAUGCAAGUCGAGCGGAGAUGAGGUGCUUGCACCUUAUCUUAGCGGCGGACGGGUGAGUAAUGCUUAGGAAUCUGCCUAUUAGUGGGGGACAACAUUCCGAAAGGAAUGCUAAUACCGCAUACGUCCUACGGGAGAAAGCAGGGGAUCUUCGGACCUUGCGCUAAUAGAUGAGCCUAAGUCGGAUUAGCUAGUUGGUGGGGUAAAGGCCUACCAAGGCGACGAUCUGUAGCGGGUCUGAGAGGAUGAGCCGCCACACUGGGACUGAGACACGGCCCAGACUCCUACGGGAGGCAGCAGUGGGGAAUAUUGGACAAUGGGGGGAACCCUGAUCUAGCCAUGCCGCGUGUGUGAAGAAGGCCUUAUGGUUGUAAAGCACUUUAAGCGAGGAGGAGGCUACUGAGACUAAUACUCUUGGAUAGUGGACGUUACUCGCAGAAUAAGCACCGGCUAACUCUGUGCCAGCCGUCGCAGUAA
This 501-nucleotide ribosomal RNA is filed under the name uncultured bacterium. RNAcentral describes it as "partial 16S ribosomal RNA". It matches the Rfam family "Bacterial small subunit ribosomal RNA", at positions 30 to 523 of the family's 1533-position model. The record is from RNAcentral.